This is a long non-coding RNA of Prunus dulcis (almond), 408 nucleotides long. RefSeq lists it as uncharacterized. The record is from RefSeq and is a predicted model, not a curated record. Lineage: Eukaryota; Viridiplantae; Streptophyta; Magnoliopsida; Rosales; Rosaceae. The transcript has 3 exons.
UGGACUGCAAAUUUUCAUGGUUAUUAAGUUUGUAGGUCAUUUUAGACCAUUAAAUAGACAUAAAAAGAUCUAAAUUUCUGUUAUGUGAAGAUUUAUGUCUCUAAAUUUCUGUUAUGUGAAGAUUCAUGCGAUAGGAUUAGUGAGCUGCCAAGAAAUACUAUUGUCCUUCAGGCUCAGAAAGCAGAGAGGGAUGCUACGAGAGUUUGGUAAAAAGUGGGAGAAGGGAAAUAGCACCUACACCCAACAACAACUUGAUGAACUGAGAAAUGAAUGGGUAGAAUUUGUGAGUCAUCGCAUGUACUAGCUAUAUAUGUAGUUACCUAGUCACUAUUUUGUGAAUUUUGGCUAUGAAUAGUUAGCCCUAGUCACUAUUUUGUGAAUUUUGGCUAUCGAUAGUUAGCCUACCUA